GGGGCCGACUGGUUUUGACAGCGGGUUUUCGGGUAUGGUAAGCAUGUAGAGCGCUGGGAAACAGCUCUUAAAUCUCAUUUUUCACACUUUUUAAACGGCGAGAAUAACUACGCCCUAGCUGCAUAAUCUGAAUCAUAGUAAGAUUACGCCUCGGCCCGCAAGGCGGGCAAGCAGGAAGUCACUCGAGAGCCUUGGUUUACGGCAAUCGAUAUAGUGACUUCGUAAAAGUAAACCUAUCAAGUGUAGUGUCUAGAUACAUUUGAGACAUCUAAUUUAGAAUAAGGGACGCGUUGGUAGUUUUCGACCGGCAAAUUCACGAAAAUUUAAAUGGAAACUAAACAUGUAGAAAGCUGUGCAAGUGCACGUUUGGACGAGGGUUCGAAUCCCUCCGGCUCCACUU
The sequence is a non-coding RNA, 400 nucleotides long. It matches the Rfam family "transfer-messenger RNA". Rfam says of the family: Bacterial tmRNA, also known as 10Sa RNA or SsrA, is named for its dual tRNA and mRNA-like properties. The record is from Rfam.